This 304-nucleotide long non-coding RNA is filed under the name Nicotiana benthamiana. RNAcentral describes it as "long non-coding RNA (NBEN_LNC004421)". Lineage: Eukaryota; Viridiplantae; Streptophyta; Magnoliopsida; Solanales; Solanaceae. The record is from RNAcentral.
UCUGCUCAACCCAGGUAUCACAGAACUCUGGCCAUCCAUGGCAUCCUUGUUGCAGCAAGGUCAUCAAUUGGUCAUAUUGUUGUCUGCUCAACCCAGGUAUCACAAAACUCUGGCCAUCCAUGUUUGGAACAGGGUGAUGGCUUUCAAGAGGAUUUCCUUGAGGAACAAACACAUUUCCUUCAGAAGAAGGGAAAUCCACACCAGCAGUUAGAUGAGCAGCAACAGGUCUCCUCCCCUUGUUAAAUGUUGUACUUUAUGGAUACCCAUGAAUCUUGUAACACUUAUCAAUUAAGUGCCCAGAUUU